Moschus moschiferus (Siberian musk deer) is the source of this 1662-nucleotide long non-coding RNA. NCBI's taxonomy places the organism in Eukaryota, Metazoa, Chordata, Mammalia, Artiodactyla, Moschidae. The record is from Ensembl.
GUCACACUCCUCCGCCCGCCCAGGUCGCGGCCGCUACAGCCGCCGCUGCCCCCGCCCCCUACUCCGCGCGCCGCCCGCGUGGGCCGCGGUGGGAGGCGCCGGUGGCAGGUUCCCGCGAGCCCGGGUCGGCGAGCAGCUCCGCGGGGACCGCCGUAGGCCGCGAGUCCACGGGGUGCCAAGAGCUCCCCCUCCCCGGACCCCGGCCCCGGCUGAGGCAGCAACGGUUUGCCCGGGCCCUCCCCCUUCCCUCCACCACAGCGAAUCUUCCUGGACCAGAGCGCGACACGCGCCUAACACGGGCUUGCCCUCAGCCCUGAAACCAGGUGCUUGCUGGCAACGCAGAAGAGGAAAAAGUGAAGAAAGCGAAAACGAAGGGCAGCUGAAUGGGAACGAUUCGGGGGGUCUUCCCGGCUCCCAGCACCCCCAAGAAGAUGGCUGCCGGUAAAUCUCGCGAGAAUUGAUGAAAUCUCGCGGUGACUCCCGGAGCCUGCUGGGAAGAGACGAGGGAAAGGCCGCUGGCUUCAGAAUCAGCAGGAACUUCAGCAGCUCGAACUCUGUACCAGACGGCGUGGCCCAUCGGCUGGAACGACGCUACUACUGGAGCGCUUUCUUGAGAGCAUCCGCUCGGAUGUGUCUGGACACAGGCGAUCAGGGGGUUACAGUGAUUUUAGACUUACCUGUGUGAUUUGCUUUGACUAAAUGAGACUAAAUAUGCUGAGAUAAAUGUGAUACAAGUCAACAACUUGAAAAGUGUUGCACAUCCUUUUGAACCCUGAGAACCCUGAGGCCACCAUGUGAAGAGGUCCCAACUAGAUCCAGCCUGCCAACCACCAGAUGUGUGAGAAAGAUCAAACUAAACCACUUACCUUCUGCCCAGUCAGCCCCACUGUAACAUCCCAACAACUCACAGAAUGAUGAGAAAUAAUAAAUGGUUUUAAGCCACUAAUUUGAGGUGGUUAGUUAUAUAGUGAACACUAACUGAUACAAAGCCCAGCCAACACACAACUGAGGCUUGUAGUUUCUAAAACACUUAUUUUUCUUAUGACAGCUUUAACUUUCAUUCUAUCAUUCAUUCACCCAAUAUUCAUAGUUGACUUACUUGUAAAAGGAAAUUCAUGUUUGAAUGAAAUUAAGCUAACUUAUGUCAUCGAAUGCUGAACAGCAAGCCUCUUAGGCAACAGGAACCAGCAUAUCUCUCAGAAUCAAAUCUGCCAAUAUAUGUUCCUUCAUGGACAUUUUCUAUAGAAUGCUCAUGCAUCCCAAAGGCACAAUAGCAAGCACCUACUCUGGGUAUCUCUGUUCAAGAUACAAAUGAUCAGGAUAGAGAAGCUAAAUGAUUGAGCUUGAGCCUAUGCCUAUCUCUUCACCAAGGAAGAGGGAUUUACUACCAAUAUAAACUAGAGAAUAGGGCACAUCAUCACACAUAACACUUCAACAGGAAUCAAAUUCUGAUUCUUUUUCUUUAAUAAUGACCUUGUUUGCAAGUGAUUUUCCAGAAAAUGGAUGUUAACUUAAUUUGGGAAUUGUAUAUCCAAAAGGCAAAUUCAAAUCACAAAUAAAACACACAAGUAGGCAAAUAGCCCAGACGAAACCAGCGGAAAUUAUCUUUGGGGAAGACUUACCGGGAGUUGAAGCAAUGAUGAGCUUCUUAGCAAUGAGAGC